RNAcentral lists this long non-coding RNA (355 nucleotides) under Hordeum vulgare. RNAcentral describes it as "long non-coding RNA (HVUL_LNC001230)". Lineage: Eukaryota; Viridiplantae; Streptophyta; Magnoliopsida; Poales; Poaceae. The record is from RNAcentral.
CAUCAUUUUACUUUAUCCCUAUUGUAUCUGAUUGUUGUUUAUUCUAUUUUGCAAGCACCACCUCAAGAUCAUCCAUGUCAAGGAUGACAAGGUCAAUGUGACAUCCCCGGAUUGGUGCUACAGUAACCCCUGUAGUCAAGCGACAGUAAUCCCACGCUAGUGAAGCCACGUCAUCAUAAAUUCUAUCAUGGAUCUCGUGUUAGUCGAAAACCCAGUCGAGUUCGAAAUUUACGAAUAAAGUCGAACGAGAAACGUUUUGUGAUGUUAAGUAAAAAUGUCGAGAGAGUUACUGAAAUUCCCUAAAUAGUUAUAAAAAUGAAUCGGACAUUUUUAAUGGUAUUAAAAGUCCUAUAUA